UGCANGUCGAGCGGAANCGACNACAUUGACCCUUCGGAUGAUUUGUUGGGCGUCGAGCGGCGGACGGGUGAGUAAUGCCUGGGAAAUUGCCCUGAUGUGGGGGAUAACCAUUGGAAACGAUGGCUAAUACCGCAUAAUGUCUACGGACCAAAGAGGGGGACCUUCGGGCCUCUCGCUUCNGGAUAUGCCCAGGUGGGAUUAGCUAGUUGGUGAGGUAAUGGCUCACCAAGGCGACGAUCCCUAGCUGGUCUGAGAGGAUGAUCAGCCACACUGGAACUGAGACACGGUCCAGACUCCUACGGGAGGCAGCAGUGGGGAAUAUUGCACAAUGGGCGCAAGCCUGAUGCAGCCAUGCCGCGUGUAUGAAGAAGGCCUUCGGGUUGUAAAGUACUUUCAGUCGUGAGGAAGGCGUUGAAGUUAA
This 421-nucleotide ribosomal RNA is filed under the name Vibrio sp. KR06-38. Its description in RNAcentral is "bacterial SSU rRNA". It matches the Rfam family "Bacterial small subunit ribosomal RNA", at positions 56 to 463 of the family's 1533-position model. The record is from RNAcentral. Lineage: Bacteria; Pseudomonadati; Pseudomonadota; Gammaproteobacteria; Vibrionales; Vibrionaceae.